GAUGAACGCUGGCGGCGUGCCUAAUACAUGCAAGUCGAGCGAACGGACGAGAAGCUUGCUUCUCUGAUGUUAGCGGCGGACGGGUGAGUAACACGUGGAUAACCUACCUAUAAGACUGGGAUAACUUCGGGAAACCGGAGCUAAUACCGGAUAAUAUUUUGAACCGCAUGGUUCAAAAGUGAAAGACGGUCUUGCCGUCACUUAUAGAUGGAUCCGCGCUGCAUUAGCUAGUUGGUAAGGUAACGGCUUACCAAGGCAACGAUGCAUAGCCGACCUGAGAGGGUGAUCGGCCACACUGGAACUGAGACACGGUCCAGACUCCUACGGUAGGCAGCAGUAGGGAAUCUUCCGCAAAGGGCGAAAGCCUGACGGAGCAACGCCGCGUGAGUGAUGAAGGUCUUCGGAUCGUAAAACUCUGUUAUUAGGGAAGAACAUAUGUGUAAGUAACUGUGCACAUCUUGACGGUACCUAAUCAGAAAGCCACGGCUAACUACGUG
This 497-nucleotide ribosomal RNA is filed under the name uncultured bacterium. RNAcentral describes it as "partial 16S ribosomal RNA". It matches the Rfam family "Bacterial small subunit ribosomal RNA", at positions 28 to 507 of the family's 1533-position model. The record is from RNAcentral.